CCUACGGGAGGCAGCAGUGGGGGAUAUUGCACAAUGGGGGAAACCCUGAUGCAGCGACGCCGCGUGAGGGAAGAAGUAUUUCGGUAUGUAAAGCUCUAUCAGCAGGGAAGAAAAUGACAGUACCUGACCAUGAAGCCCCGGCUAACUACGGGCCAGCAGCCGCGGUAAUACGUAGGGGGCAAGCGUUAUCCGGAUUUACUGGGUGUAAAGGGAGCGUAGACGGUUAUGUAAGUCUGGAGUGAAAGCCUGGGGCCCAACCCCGGGACUGCUUUGGAAACUGUGUGACUUGAGUACAGGAGGGGCAGGCGGAAUUCCUGGUGUAGCGGUGAAAUGCGUAGAUAUCAGGAGGAACACCGGCGGCGAAGGCGGCCUGCUGGACUGAAACUGACGUUGAGGCUCGAAAGCGUGGGGAGCAAACAGGAUUAGAUACCCGUGUAGUC
This 440-nucleotide ribosomal RNA is filed under the name uncultured bacterium. Its description in RNAcentral is "partial 16S ribosomal RNA". It matches the Rfam family "Bacterial small subunit ribosomal RNA", at positions 338 to 795 of the family's 1533-position model. The record is from RNAcentral.